GACGAACGCUGGCGGCGUGCUUAACACAUGCAAGUCGAACGAUGAAGCCGGAGCUUGCUCUGGUGAAUUAGUGGCGAACGGGUGAGUAACACGUGAGUAACCUGCCCUUGACUCUGGGAUAACUGCGGGAAACUGUAGCUAAUACCGGAUACGACCCUCGGAGGCAUCUCCUGGGGGUGGAAAGAAUUUCGGUCAAGGAUGGACUCGCGGCCUAUCAGCUAGUUGGUGAGGUAAAGGCUCACCAAGGCGACGACGGGUAGCCGGCCUGAGAGGGUGACCGGCCACACUGGGACUGAGACACGGCCCAGACUCCUACGGGAGGCAGCAGUGGGGAAUAUUGCACAAUGGGCGCAAGCCUGAUGCAGCAACGCCGCGUGAGGGAUGACGGCCUUCGGGUUGUAAACUUCUUUUAUGUGGGAAGAUUAUGACUGUACCACAUGAAUAGGGACCGGCUAACUACGUGCCAGCAGCCGCCGUAA
This 479-nucleotide ribosomal RNA is filed under the name uncultured bacterium. RNAcentral's name for it is "partial 16S ribosomal RNA". It matches the Rfam family "Bacterial small subunit ribosomal RNA", at positions 28 to 523 of the family's 1533-position model. The record is from RNAcentral.